RNAcentral lists this ribosomal RNA (301 nucleotides) under uncultured bacterium. RNAcentral describes it as "partial 16S ribosomal RNA". It matches the Rfam family "Bacterial small subunit ribosomal RNA", at positions 509 to 807 of the family's 1533-position model. The record is from RNAcentral.
CAGUCGCCACGGUAAUACGUAGGGUGCAAGCGUUAAUCGGAAUUACUGGGCGUAAAGCGUGCGCAGGCGGUUAUAUAAGACAGAUGUGAAAUCCCCGGGCUCAACCUGGGAACUACAUUUGUGACUGUAUAGCUAGAGUACGGCAGAGGGGGAUGGAAUUCCGCGUGUAGCAGUGAAAUGCGUAGAUAUGCGGAGGAACACCGAUGGCGAAGGCAAUCCCCUGGGCCUGUACUGACGCUCAUGCACGAAAGCGUGGGGAGCAAACAGGAUUAGAUACCCCAGUAGUCCCUGUCUCUUAUAC